AACUCUUCUGAGGUAAUUACUUUU
Molecule: non-coding RNA, 24 nt
Filed under: Cricetulus griseus (Chinese hamster)
Lineage: Eukaryota; Metazoa; Chordata; Mammalia; Rodentia; Cricetidae
Source: RNAcentral